ACACAUAUACGCACACAACUUUUCGCCGCUCUCUCUCUCUCUGCUUUGCAGAAACAAAUGAACUUUUAACUAAUAAACCUUUCUAUCUAUCAGUCAUCUCCUGAUUAUAUUUCAUUUCAGAUUCAGAUUUUUCCUUUUAAGAAAAAAAAAAAGAAAAACUGUUAACGGACACUAACACCUAUCUAUAUAUAUAUACAUAUUUAUAUAUAUAUGUAUGUAGAGCCUUCCCUUCCUCUCUUCUUAUUAUUCCAUUUGCCUCCCUUCCUCCUCCUUCUUCUUCUUCUUCUUCUUCUUCAGGUCUUUAAUCACUGAUCGGAGGGUCUCGAUCUUCUCCUCCUUUUCCCUUAAUCGUACGGCUAUUACUCUCCCUCCUUCUCUCUCUUUCUACGUAACUGCUGUACCCAGAAAAAACACAGAAACUUCCUUGUUCUUGUAUUCAUUUUAUUAAUUUUAUUUGGUUAUUUAUUUAUUUUUGAUGAAGAAGAAGAUCAGUUCUGUGUCUAUACAUUCAAAUACACAUAUUCAUAUACGUCCCCGUUCUUGAAUCUGUCUGCUUUGAAGGGAGAAAGAAAACAAAAAGAGAGAGAUAGAAAGAAGAGAAAACGCAUCUAUCCACUGAAAUUUCACUCCCUAAGCAAGGGAGAUUAUGGAGCUUAAUGGUCAUAAAAGAACAAGAAGAAAGGAUCAUUUUGUAAAUGGUGAUAUGUUGUUAGAAAGUGUUGGUGAUGUAGAUCCAUGGACAGCAUGGGCAUACAAGCCUCGUACUAUUUCAUUGUUACUUAUUGGUGCAUGCUUUCUUAUUUGGGCAAGUGGAGCCCUUGAUCCUGAAAGCUGUGCAUCUGGUGACAUGGUUACAUCUGUGAAGAGGGGUGUAUGGGCAAUGAUUGCAGUUUUUCUUGCUUAUUGCUCGUUGCAGGCCCCUUCAACAGUUCUUAUAAGGCCGCAUCCGGCAAUCUGGCGUUUAGUUCAUGGACUGGCUGUAGUUUAUCUUGUUUCUCUCACAUUUUUGCUUUUCCAGAAGCGUGAUGAUGCUCGGCAAUUUAUGAAGUUUCUCCACCCAGACCUUGGAGUUGAACUUCCUGAAAGAUCAUAUGGUGCAGAUUGUCGAAUUUACAUGCCUGAGCAUCCCUCAAGCAGGUUUAAGAAUGUUUAUGACACACUUUUUGAUGAAUUUGUUCUAGCUCAUAUAUUUGGGUGGUGGGGGAAGGCUAUAUUAAUCCGUAACCAGCCACUUCUUUGGGUUUUAUCUAUUGGGUUCGAGUUCUUGGAGUUUACUUUCCGCCAUAUGCUGCCAAACUUCAACGAGUGUUGGUGGGACAGUAUUAUUCUUGAUAUAUUGAUAUGCAAUUGGUUUGGUAUUUGGGCAGGAAUGCACACAGUUAGGUACUUCGACGGAAAAACAUAUGAGUGGGUUGGUAUAAGUCGCCAACCAAAUAUUUUUAGCAAGGUUAAACGAACAUUAGGACAGUUUACACCAGCACAGUGGGACAAAGAUGAGUGGCAUCCCUUGCUUGGUCCAUGGCGAUUUAUCCAAGUUCUCAGUCUUUGCAUAGUGUUUCUGACAGUAGAGCUCAACACAUUUUUUCUUAAGUUUUGUCUCUGGAUUCCUCCUCGGAACCCUGUCAUAAUUUAUAGGUUGAUCUUGUGGUGGCUAAUUGCCAUACCAACAAUUCGUGAAUACAAUUCAUAUCUCCAAGACCGGAAACCGGUGAAGAAGGUUGGAGCUUUUUGUUGGCUUUCACUUGCUAUUUGCAUUAUUGAACUUCUCAUUUGCAUAAAGUUUGGACAUGGUCUUUAUCCUAAACCAAUGCCUGUAUGGUUGGUUAUCUUCUGGGCAGCUGUUGGAGUUGCCCUUCUACUAUUCAUCAUUAUUUGGUCAUGGCAACUGCAUCAGAGAUUAGGGAGAAAGAGGCAAUGAAUAUUCUAGUAUGGGUUGGAGCAAUUCCUGACGUUUCUUGCAUCCUGUUUAAGGGGAUGGAUUGCAUCAAUAGAGACACAAUCAGGUGGAAAAUGGCAUCGUGCAAAGCUUUUUCUUCCAAAUUGUUUUUCCUCUAACAAUCUCUUCAUUUUGGGAUUCUCCUUUGGUUAGAAGGAGAUGUGUAUAUUUUAGUGGCACCUUGUCCAGAGGUACCAGGAAUCCGUUGCCCUCCAUUAGUGGUUCAGAUGCUAAAGAAAACCCAUUUAGUACGGGAAUGUCAUUACUAAGGAUUUCAUCCCCAUCUGGCUCGCAUAGGGAUUGAACAAUGUCUGCACUUCCACAUUCCCUUCUAUACUCCAUUGUGAUACCAGAAAGCUGAUGGGACUCCAAAAAAUGAUCAGGAAGUAUCUGUAGAAGCAACAAACGAAAUAAGAAGAGAGAGACACUUGACAUUGUUUACUUUUCAAGUAUGGGAUGAGAUGAUGAUUAAUUACCUCUAGCAUCCAUCUUACGUACUUCACAUUGUUGACAUGGUGGUUCAUGUCUAAAUCACUCCUUUUGGGCUACAAAAUUACAAAGUCGCAUCAGCAAGGAUUGGUUCAGCUGUUAUAUGCGUUUAGUUUGGUUAUAAGUUAUGAUGUUCACCUUCAAGUUGGAGAUCACAUAUCUUGCUUUAUCGUCCAACUUGGCAAUUUUAUCAGGUACCUCUUCUUUGAUUGCUUGUUUCUCUAUAAACCAUGGAGAUAUCUCAGCCCUCACCUCCUCUGGCAUCUUCGAGAGGCGCCUUGUCUUCUCGUUCAUCAUCACCCAUGUGCUGUUUCACUUUGAUUAUUAUCAGAACGAGGAAAUGGAAGGCGAACAUAGAGGAGAAAUUACAGACACACACCUAGUUGCACGUACAAAUACAUGGCCUGUCGCUUGGCUCCGGAUGAGCCAGUCUCUCUUCAUUCCAUUCUUUCCUGAUGCUCGUACCCAUGUGUCGAUUUCCACUACCUCUCCCCUACAUGGAUUCCCCAUAUUUUCGUUAAUUGUGCAUUGAAAGUAUAGUAUUUCAGCACGGAGGAAACAUGCAAAUAAAUAUAUGUGUUCCUCUAGGCCUGAGCCUAUAGUUCAUUUAUGUGGCUAAUUAAUGAUGAUGAAGGGAGCUUACCAGAUUGGAUAGUGAUCGACCUGAACUUGUAAUUUGGAGACUACCCAGAUGAGGUUAUUCUUCACCAUUCCAUGAGUGGCCCCAAAUCCAUUGCUGAGAAGUCCGGAGAGCCAUACAUGAUUCAAUGCUGUUUCCUGCAUAUACGACCUCUCUAAGAACGCAAUGUUUUUGCAUCAUAUGAUAGAAUCAAGUCAAUUCAGACAGUUACUUACCUGAAGAAGAUAUAGUAUGCUCUCAAGUGUAGCAGUUUUAUCAGGACCAACUUCGUAGGACCUAAUCACAAUUGUCUGUCUGUAACCAACGCCGCCUUCAAUCAUAAGACCUUGACGAUGAGGAUCAAUGUACUGCUUCUUCGUCGGUAUGUUCUGACGCAUCACUUCUUUUGUGAGAGUCAGAUUUUCAGAAACAGAAGCUAGAUAUAUUGUUGCCACUCCAACAGUUUGACUUGGUGCAUCGAGCUUAAGUGGCCUAGUAGAGGUAGAGGCGCCGUUGAUUUUGAUCUUGUUCAAGUUCUGCUUAUGUGGGUCAUGAUGGCCAUUGCUAUUGGAUAAACACCUGAUAGGCAAGGUGAUUGUAUAAGAGCAAGUACCCAUUUCUUUUUUGCUUUUCUCUAUAUUCUUUAAUGGAGAUGUGGAAAGUUUAAAUUGAA
This is an RNA transcript of Ricinus communis (castor bean), 3717 nucleotides long. It is a transcript of the gene named CDP-diacylglycerol--serine O-phosphatidyltransferase 1, with no coding region annotated. The record is from RefSeq and is a predicted model, not a curated record. The transcript is spliced from 15 exons. NCBI's taxonomy places the organism in Eukaryota, Viridiplantae, Streptophyta, Magnoliopsida, Malpighiales, Euphorbiaceae.